UUUAAGAAUCUAACUGGGUGUCCAAGGGAGAGAAUACAGUCAUGGGUUCUUAGUUUCUGUUUCUGAUUGGGCCAGUAAAGCCCCUUUCUCAUCCCUUUUUU
This is a long non-coding RNA of Sapajus apella (tufted capuchin), 101 nucleotides long. RefSeq lists it as uncharacterized. NCBI's taxonomy places the organism in Eukaryota, Metazoa, Chordata, Mammalia, Primates, Cebidae. The record is from RefSeq and is a predicted model, not a curated record. The transcript has 3 exons.